GACGAACGCUGGCGGCGUGCUUAACACAUGCAAGUCGAACGGAAAGGCCCUGCUUUUGUGGGGUGCUCGAGUGGCGAACGGGUGUGAAACACGUGAGUAACCUGCCCUUGACUUUGGGAUAACUUCAGGAAAAUGGGGAUAAUACCGGAUAGGAGCUCUUGAUGCAUGGUGGGGGUUGGAAAGUUUCGGCGGUUGGGGAUGGACUCGAGGCUUAUCAGCUUGUUGGUGGGGUUGGGGCUUACCAAGGCUUUGACGGGUAGGCGGCCUGGGAGGGUGGCCGGCCUCAUUGGGACUGCGGUACGGCCCAGUCUCCUACGGGAGGCAGCAGUGGAGAAUAUUGCACAAUGGGCGGACGCCUGAUGCAGCAACGCCGCGUGCGGGAUGACGUCCUUCUGGUUGUAAACCGCUUUCGCCUGUGACGAAGCGUGAGUGACGGUAAUGGGUAAAGAAGCACCGGCUAACUACGUG
RNAcentral lists this ribosomal RNA (468 nucleotides) under uncultured bacterium. RNAcentral describes it as "partial 16S ribosomal RNA". It matches the Rfam family "Bacterial small subunit ribosomal RNA", at positions 28 to 507 of the family's 1533-position model. The record is from RNAcentral.